This 253-nucleotide ribosomal RNA is filed under the name uncultured bacterium. Its description in RNAcentral is "partial 16S ribosomal RNA". It matches the Rfam family "Bacterial small subunit ribosomal RNA", at positions 524 to 776 of the family's 1533-position model. The record is from RNAcentral.
UACGGAAGGGGCAAGCGUUGUUCGGAAUCACUGGGCUUAAAGGGCGCGUAGGCGGGUUCCCAAGUCGGUGGUGAAAUCCUUCGGCCCAACCGGAAAACAGCCGCCGAUACUGGGAGUCUUGAGGGAGGUAGGGGUCGAUGGAACUUCCGGUGGAGCGGUGAAAUGCGUAGAUAUCGGAAGGAACGCCGGUGGCGAAAGCGAUCGACUGGACCUUUUCUGACGCUGAGGCGCGAAAGCCAGGGGAGCAAACGGG